GUGCUUGCUUUGGCAGCACAUAUACUAAAAUUGGAACGAUACAGAGAAGAUUAGCAUGGCCUNUUCACAAGGACUACAUGCAAACUCCAGAAGCAUUCCAUAUUUUU
This 107-nucleotide small nuclear RNA is filed under the name Salvator merianae (Argentine black and white tegu). The record is from RNAcentral. Lineage: Eukaryota; Metazoa; Chordata; Lepidosauria; Squamata; Teiidae.